Molecule: transfer RNA, 73 nt
Filed under: Ailuropoda melanoleuca (giant panda)
Lineage: Eukaryota; Metazoa; Chordata; Mammalia; Carnivora; Ursidae
Rfam family: tRNA
About the family: Transfer RNA (tRNA) molecules are approximately 80 nucleotides in length. Their secondary structure includes four short double-helical elements and three loops (D, anti-codon, and T loops).
Source: Rfam by way of RNAcentral
GCCUAGCUGGCUCAGUCAGUAGAGCAUGCGACUCUUGAUCUCAGGGUUGUGAGUUCAAGCCCCACACUGGGUG